CUAGAUUAGACACGGCCCAGACUCCUACGGGAGGCAGCAGUGGGGAAUAUUGCGCAAUGGGCGAAAGCCUGACGCAGCGACGCCGCGUGAGGGAUGAAGGCCUUCGGGUUGUAAACCUCUUUCAGCAGGGACGAAGCGAGAGUGACGGUACCUGCAGAAGAAGCACCGGCCAACUACGUGCCAGCAGCCGCGGUAAUACGUAGGGUGCAAGCGUUGUCCGGAAUUAUUGGGCGUAAAGAGCUCGUAGGCGGUCUGUCGCGUCGGCUGUGAAAACUCGGGGCUCAACCCCGAGCCUGCAGUCGAUACGGGCAGACUAGAGUGCUGUAGGGGAGACUGGAAUUCCUGGUGUAGCGGUGAAAUGCGCAGAUAUCAGGAGGAACACCGGUGGCGAAGGCGGGUCUCUGGGCAGUAACUGACGCUGAGGAGCGAAAGCGUGGGGAGCAAACAGGAUUAGAUACCCUGGUAGUCCACGCCGUAAACGGUGGGUGCUAGGUGUGAGCGGUAUUCCACGCCGUUCGUGCCGCAGCUAACGCAUUAAGCACCCCGCCUUGGGAGUACGGCCGCAAGGCUAAAACUCAAAGGAAUUGACGGGGGCCCGCACAAGCAGCGGAGCAUGUGGCUUAAUUCGACGCAACGCGAAGAACCUUACCAAGGCUUGACAUACACCGAAAAACUCGUAGAGAUACGGGGUCCGCAAGGGCGGUGUACAGGUGGUGCAUGGUUGUCGUCAGCUCGUGUCGUGAGAUGUUGGGCUAAGUCCCGCAACGAGCGCAACCCUCGUUCUAUGUUGCCAGCGGGUCAUGCCGGGGACUCAUAGGAGACUGCCGGGGUCAACUCGGAGGAAGGUGGGGACGACGUCAAAUCAUCAUGCCCCUUAUGUCUUGGGCUGCACACGUAAUCG
RNAcentral lists this ribosomal RNA (901 nucleotides) under uncultured Actinomycetes bacterium. RNAcentral describes it as "bacterial SSU rRNA". It matches the Rfam family "Bacterial small subunit ribosomal RNA", at positions 318 to 1228 of the family's 1533-position model. Lineage: Bacteria; Bacillati; Actinomycetota; Actinomycetes. The record is from RNAcentral.